GCAGUGAUUAGACACCAAGGGAAGACUGUCUUCCUGAGUCUGUGACCAGCGCCAGAGUUUUGGGUCCACGGAUAAAAUGUGUCUCCUUUGUCUCUACUAGAGAAGAAAAAGACUGGACAGGGAGAUUGGAGGGUAGCGACAGAGGCUGGAGAAAAGAGUGAAGAGACCACUUACCCGAUUUGAAAUUGAGGAGGGAGUCACAAGGUGCAUGGUGGAGAGAUGAUGGGACUCAUUGUCCAGAAGAAUGUCACAGGGUCGAUUGAUCAGUUGGGGCAGGGCAGGAACACGUCAUAAUGGUGGAAUGUCGUAAGAGUGAGAACUUGUGACGGUGAAUAACUCUUCUCUUUCCUGGUACCUGGACUUCAGAGAUUAAUACAAAACCCUGUGGGUCAGGACUUGGCAACACCAAGAAGCAUUCAAAUAUAAUGAUUUAUUCAACUGUGUAUUGUCAUGGAAAUAAUAAUUAAAUGGCACAUCUUUGUUGUCUGAAAGGGA
Molecule: long non-coding RNA, 495 nt
Organism: Homo sapiens (human)
Lineage: Eukaryota; Metazoa; Chordata; Mammalia; Primates; Hominidae
Gene: UCA1-AS1
Product: UCA1 antisense RNA 1
Source: Ensembl